UACGUAGGGGGCAAGCGUUAUCCGGAUUUACUGGGUGUAAAGGGAGCGUAGACGGUGAUGCAAGUCUGAAGUGAAAGCCCGCGGCUCAACUGCGGGACUGCUUUGGAAACUGUGUGACUAGAGUGCAGGAGAGGUAAGUGGAAUUCCUAGUGUAGCGGUGAAAUGCGUAGAUAUUAGGAGGAACACCAGUGGCGAAGGCGGCUUACUGGACUGUAACUGACGUUGAGGCUCGAAAGCGUGGGGAGCAAACAGG
Molecule: ribosomal RNA, 253 nt
Filed under: uncultured bacterium
Lineage: Bacteria
Description: partial 16S ribosomal RNA
Rfam family: Bacterial small subunit ribosomal RNA
Source: RNAcentral